UAAGGGAGAAAGCCCACUA
This 19-nucleotide small nuclear RNA is filed under the name Arabidopsis thaliana (thale cress). Its description in RNAcentral is "snRNA_04789". The record is from RNAcentral. Lineage: Eukaryota; Viridiplantae; Streptophyta; Magnoliopsida; Brassicales; Brassicaceae.